GCCGCCGGACUCCCGCCGAUGGAGGCGAUCUCUGGGACCAAGACGCUUUUGAAUUCCAUCUCUGGCGAGGCGAGGGAAGGGGAGAUCUUCGCGGUGUUGGGGGCGAGUGGCUCCGGAAAGUCCACCCUGAUCGACGCCCUUGCGAACCGCAUCGUUCGGGAGAGCCUGCAGGGUUCCAUCACCCUCAACGGAGAGAAGCUCGAGGGGCGGCUCCUCAAGGUGAUCUCCGCCUAUGUCAUGCAGGACGACCUCCUGUACCCCAUGCUCACCGUGGAAGAAACCUUGAUGUUCUCUGCGGAGUUCCGGCUGCCGCGGUCGCUGUCCGCCUCGAAGAAGAAGAGCCGGGUGCAAGCACUGAUCGACCAGCUCGGCCUCCGGUCCGCCGCCAAGACCAUCAUCGGCGAUGAGAUCCACCGCGGCGUCUCCGGCGGAGAGCGUCGCCGUGUGUCGAUCGGAAUCGACAUCAUCCACGACCCCAUCAUCCUCUUCCUCGACGAGCCCACGUCCGGCCUCGAUUCCACCAGCGCUUUCAUGGUCGUCAAGGUGUUACAGAGGAUUGCUCACAGCGGAAGCAUAGUGAUCAUGUCGGUGCACCAGCCGAGCUACCGGAUCCUGUGUCUUCUCGAUCGCCUUCUUUUCCUCUCCCGCGGACAGACGGUGUACAGCGGUCCGCCUGACGGCAUCCCCCGGUUCUUCGCCGACUUCGGCCACCCGAUCCCCGACAACGAAAACCCGACAGAGUUCGCGCUCGACCUCAUCCGCGAGUCUGAGGGCACUCCGGACGGUGCGAAGCCCCUCGUCGACUUCAACAAGUCGCGCCAGAACACACAACUCGCCCUGACUACCGCCGAGGAGUCGUCUGUUUCUCUCAAGGACGCCAUCAGCGCCAGCAUCUCUCGCGGCAAGCUCGUCUCCGGCGCGACAGACAGGACGACGUCUGCCUCGUCCGUCCAGAAGCACGCCAAUCCGUUCUGGAUCGAGAUGGCGGUGCUCACCAAGCGGUCGUUCACCAACACCAAGCGGAUGCCGGAGCUGUUCGCCAUCCGCCUCGGCGCAGUGCUCGUAACCGGAUUCAUCCUGGCCACCAUCUUCUGGCGGCUCGACAACUCGCCCAAGGGCGUGCAGGAGCGGCUCGGCUUCUUCGCCAUAGCCAUGUCCACCAUGUUCUACACGUGCGCCGACGCACUACCUGUCUUCCUCCAGGAGCGCAACAUCUUC
This 1218-nucleotide long non-coding RNA is filed under the name Musa acuminata (dwarf banana). Its description in RNAcentral is "long non-coding RNA (MACU_LNC003624)". The record is from RNAcentral. Lineage: Eukaryota; Viridiplantae; Streptophyta; Magnoliopsida; Zingiberales; Musaceae.